This 395-nucleotide ribosomal RNA is filed under the name uncultured microorganism. RNAcentral's name for it is "bacterial SSU rRNA". It matches the Rfam family "Archaeal small subunit ribosomal RNA", at positions 330 to 679 of the family's 1478-position model. The record is from RNAcentral.
GUGCAGCAGGCGAGAAACCUUCGCAAUGCAGGAAACUGCGACGAGGGAACUCCAAGUGCCUACGCUCAGCGUAGGCUGUUCUCAAGCCUAGAAAGCUUGAGGAGUAAGGGCUGGGUAAGACGGGUGCCAUCUGUGGUAGCAGUCAAUAGAUUCGAUUUGUUACUGCAAGGCAUAAGCGGCGCGGUAAUACCGCAGCCCAAGUGGUGGCCGCUUUUAUUGGGCCUAAAGCGUCCGUAGCCGGCCCGGUAAAUGCCUGGGUAAAUCGUGGAGCCCAACUUCACGAAUUCCGGGUAGACUGCCGAGCUCGGGACCGGAAGAGGGGAGAGGGUACUUCAGGGGUAGGGGUGAAAAUUUCCUUUCCAUUAACGCUUUUGCGCGAAGCGGAAAGGGUUAUC